CUUAACCAGUUCUAACAGCAAUAAGGCGCGUGGGUUUAAGCUCGAGCAGUCUGUUUGGGUUUGACACCCGGAUUGUGCCACCUUUAUACCCCGGCAGUGAUCUGGUUGUUGACCUCUGGGCUAAAGCUCGAUCCCACAAAGGCCGUACCUCCACCCUAUGUUUUGUGUGGGCCCCCUCACAUCACACGGAGGUAGCUAUUGCAUGGCACAGCAAAGGGCUAGGCAGGCCAGAAGGAGCAAAACCACCUUGCAAGUGACGGUGGUGAAUACAGAUCAGUGCGAUCAUCUGCCUCAUGCUUCAUAGCGGAGCUGUACAGAUGUGAGAGCCUGGGAUUAACAGGAGCCCGAGCUCCUCACUGAAGGGAUUUAAGGGUAGGUUUGAGCUGUGAUCAAUCUGCAGAGGCUCAAGCACAGGGCAGCUGCCCUUGUGCCCAGUGGCCGCUUUCCUGCUCUGAAUGCCAGCUGCUUUCCCUUCCCACCAGGAUGCCUCUGCUCAGCCCUGGCAAGGCCUCCCCUGCCCAGCCAAGCUGGUGCUCACCAUGGUUUGUUGGAUCCUUGUGGGCUGAUUACUCAAGUAGAACUGUUAAGAGCAAUGGGAUGGCUGCCAGGUCUGCAGGAAGCAUUGCCAGGAUUAUAUCUCCAGCUUCACUUGGUCACCAUCACACCUUGGACUUGUUGGUCCUUCCCCGCACACAGCAGGAUGAUCUUGUUCCCAAGCUCUGUCAAGCAGAUCUGGUGGGAAGGGAGGUUCAAGCCAGCCAGAAGGUGUGUGCUGAAAGCUGACCAGCUGCAAACAUGGCCAUUCUCCAAAAAGAAAUCGCUGCCUUCUCCUUCAAGAGUUAAACAUGGAUCAGCGCAGUCCCUAUUUUUAGCAGCCCCGACAUUCACUAGCAGCCUGUUUUGACUGUAACUUUUUGCAAUAAUUUUUCUGUCACUGGAGAAAAGUGAAAUUCCUGUGCUGACCCAAAGCCUGCAGGACAUUUGCAGUGCGUCCUGCUUUGCUCGCUGCCUUUUCCAACAUUUCUGUCUGGUUGAGAUAGAGCCUGUUAAAACCUUUCCAAAAUUUCCAAAAAAUUAAAACUCCUUGGAAGCUUG
Long non-coding RNA from Coturnix japonica (Japanese quail), 1095 nucleotides. RefSeq lists it as uncharacterized. The record is from RefSeq and is a predicted model, not a curated record. Lineage: Eukaryota; Metazoa; Chordata; Aves; Galliformes; Phasianidae.